This 336-nucleotide ribosomal RNA is filed under the name uncultured bacterium. RNAcentral's name for it is "bacterial SSU rRNA". It matches the Rfam family "Bacterial small subunit ribosomal RNA", at positions 72 to 422 of the family's 1533-position model. The record is from RNAcentral.
AAGUGGAGCAAUCCAUGAGUACAGUGGCGUACGGGUGAGUAACACGUGACUAACCUACCCUCGAGUGGGGAAUAACCUCGGGAAACCGGGGCUAAUACCGCAUAACAUCUUCGGAUCAAAUGCGUAAGCAGCUUGAGGAGGGGGUCGCGGCCGAUUAGCUAGUUGGCGGGGUAAUGGCCCACCAAGGCAAUGAUCGGUAGCCGGCCUGAGAGGGCGCACGGCCACACUGGAACUGAAACACGGUCCAGACUCCUACGGGAGGCAGCAGUGGGGAAUUUUGCGCAAUGGGGGAAACCCUGACGCAGCAACGCCGCGUGGAGGAUGAAGCCCCUUGGG